This 116-nucleotide ribosomal RNA is filed under the name uncultured eukaryote. RNAcentral's name for it is "partial small subunit ribosomal RNA". It matches the Rfam family "Bacterial small subunit ribosomal RNA", at positions 1410 to 1525 of the family's 1533-position model. The record is from RNAcentral.
GUUGGUCUUACCCUAAGACGGUGCGCUAACCGCAAGGAGGGCGCUUACCACGGUGGGAUUCAUGACUGGGGUGAAGUCGUAACAAGGUAGCCGUAGGUGAACCUGCAGAAGGAUCA